Molecule: non-coding RNA, 28 nt
Filed under: Mus musculus (house mouse)
Lineage: Eukaryota; Metazoa; Chordata; Mammalia; Rodentia; Muridae
Source: RNAcentral
UGCUCACUGUAUGCCUCGACUGGACAUC